Long non-coding RNA from Lytechinus pictus (painted urchin), 1437 nucleotides. RefSeq lists it as uncharacterized. The transcript is spliced from 2 exons. NCBI's taxonomy places the organism in Eukaryota, Metazoa, Echinodermata, Echinoidea, Temnopleuroida, Toxopneustidae. The record is from RefSeq and is a predicted model, not a curated record.
GUCCCUAUUCUGACGUCACAAUGUCACAUCCUCUAUUCAUCCUCGUCCUCUGUUUUGUCUCAUUAACUAUCAUAUUACCACGUGUGUCAGCCUCACCUUUAUAUCAUCUCAAUGCACUAUCACUGAGCGAGCCUGAUAGAACACAGUUUGAAGUCGAAACAAGGGGCCAUCAACCAGAAAGGAGAAAUCCUUUAUUAUCAGGUAAAUCUCGUAUGUGCUUCGCUUCUGCUAGUCUUGUUUGCGUGUGUGAUUUACAAGGACGGCUUAAGGGAUGUUUCAGGGGACCUUCGGCUGUGAUGGCCAUCCGAGGGAUCGGUGUAUGAUCAGGACUCUACAAUCAACACUUAUCUACUGAAUUCUCUAAUUCCAAAAGGCUUCACGAAUGGGACAAUGGGUUCCUUUACGGAACGGGUCGAUAACUCAAUGACAAUAUCGAGCUUUUAUAAUGCACAUUGUGAUUUCCCGAGGUUAACCCGACAUAUCACCACAUGUGGAAUACGGGAUAUCAUCUAGUAUACCACAUCCAGCGAAUACAUGCACACUCACGUUGAAGAAUCAACUAUAUUUUUGAAGGAUCUGAUUGGACGUAAAGAUGAAUGGAUAUAGAUGAAACGGUUUACAAUGAACUGUCUGUAUGGCUAUAAUCAUGAUGAUACUACUGUAAUAAAAUUAUCAUAAGACUCAUUUAAAACAAGAUUUUAUGCCAAAGCACGACUUUAUUUGGUUUUUAUUGAAUUUUUGCUUUUUAAUUGUUUUCCCCCCUUUUUAGGGGAGGGGCUUUAGGCCUAUUUCGGCAAUUUUAAGCGUACAUUAAUUUUUUAAUAUUUUGGGGAUUAGAAACAUAAUCAUUAUCGAUCUGUUAUACUGAAGUCCUCCAAUACGGGUAUGAUUUUGAGUUACCCUUGUUUGUGUGUCUUCGCAGUCGCCAAGCAAGAAUAUCUAUAAUUAAAUUAAACAGGCUAAUAAAAUAGAAACUAGAAUGUUCUCUCAACAAAUCGAAUUAAUAACUUUCUCCCCCGGGGAUGAGUAGAUUUUACUCCACUGACUUUCAAUUGUUAUUGAGUGAAUUUUACCCUUUUUGAAGUGAGAUCUGUGUUAAACGUUCGUAUGUUCACUCUUAAUUCACUCCAAAUUGAGUAAUCAUUGACGUCACUACCAAAGGGAAUAAAAGGCGAGUGAAAUAUUCACAUAUUAUCUUUUUGAGCAAGUACCUAGAUUUAAAACUAUUUCAUAUUCAAAUCAUGUCUUAACACUCCAUUAUCAUAACAGUGACUCGCAGCUAGAAAAGUGGUUUUAUUGGUUAUUUCAUUAUCCGUUAUUUUGUGUAUUAUCUGAUAAUUACAUAUUUCGUAUCGUAUCUUUCUUUUUUCCCCCGAAAGUCACUCCAGUAUUCACACACGGGUGGCCGAUUUCGAAUAAACUCUAUUUAUAAAUCAA